RNAcentral lists this long non-coding RNA (14031 nucleotides) under Triticum aestivum (bread wheat). RNAcentral describes it as "long non-coding RNA (TAES_LNC007584)". Lineage: Eukaryota; Viridiplantae; Streptophyta; Magnoliopsida; Poales; Poaceae. The record is from RNAcentral.
GGGGAAAAAGAACAACAUGAUAACUGAUGCAAAGUUGCUAGCUGGGACUAGUAAGGCGCUGGGGCCAAUAUUAGUAAAGAGUGAAAUAAAGCAACUUAGCUAUUUGUUGUUCUGAUGUCCGAAAGGUAUAAUGAUUUGUGUUGUAUGAGUUUGUAUUGUACCUGCAUGCUAACCAUGCGCUCGAACGGAUUAUUUUUACCAUUAUUUUAUUGAGUUUUCUUUGUUUUGGGAACUUUUUCAAACUUGCUUUUGAGUGGAAUUUCACUUAUGUGCAUAUGAGUGGGUUACAUUUUCCCAAAAUUAUAGCACCUUUUUGGAAGGUUGCUUAUUAUUGCUAAUUUAGCAAUUGCAUUCCUGUUUACGUUGAUAGGUUUUGCGAGUAAGGCAUUUUGGAGCUUGAAUUUUAAAAAUAUCAAAACCAUAGUUCAAAGUCUGAAAAAAUCAUAGGUUUUUAUACAUAUGUUCAUAUGGAUGCAUUCUACAAGUGUAUAACGUUUCAGGAUGAAAUACCUUAACAUGUGAGCUACACAAAAAUGAUUUUUUUUUGAAUUUUUAAUAAUGAACAAUGCAUGUACUGUUCACCAUUAUCAAAGUUACGAAUUUCUUAUUGUAGUUCACAUGUUAACAUAUAUCAAAAUUAAACUUUAAAUACAUGUAGUAUAUAUCCAUAUAAACAUGAGGAGUUUUUUUUUUAAAAUGAAAGUUCAAAAUGUGACUUUCAAAUUUUUCAAAACAAAAACUAGCUCAACACACCAAUAUCUGUCCAAAUAUGUUAUUCCCACCACCUGUGGGAGCUCUCUAAAAGUUGGGCCAGAAAAUUUCCUAUUGUUUAUUUAAUAAAGUUUAAACAUAUUACUAUAUUAGGGGUGAGAUGACCGGGCUGGGAGCACCGUAGACAAACCACCUUAAUGAUAAUAACCAUAUAAGUAUGUGAACUAUUUAAAAAAAUAUAAGUAUGUGAGUUAUUAAUUGCCAUGCAUACACAACACUAGUAUAAAAAGGACCUAAUGUGAGACACAUUAGUCUAAGUUCAAUUUUGGCCCGGUACUAAUGGUACCAUUAGUCCCAAUUCGAACGGCUAUGCAUUAAUGCCGGUUCGUGUUGAACCUUAUUACCGGUUGGGGUGGUGGCAGGCUGGCGUCAGGCUGGGGCCCCACGAGCCCCAUUAGUCCCGGUUCGUGGCACAAACCGGUACUACAUGGCUAACCUUUAGUGCCGGUUUGUGGCACGAACCGGGACUAAAGGGGUCUGACCUAUAGUCCCUGUUGGAGACACAAACCGGGACUAAAGGGCCCAUUUUCAAACUCUACCCCCCUAAAUCGCCUUUUCAGUAUUGUAAAAAGCAAAAUAAAAUGAUGAAAACUUCAAAAAUUAAAAUCCUUCGAGCUGUAGUUAUGUUACUGUUGGGUUUCGUAGUAAUUUCAAAAAAAAUUCCUACGCGCACACAGGAUCAUGUGAUGCAUAGCAACGAGAGGAGAGUGUUGUCUACGUACCCAACGCAGACCGACUGCGGAAGCGGUGACACGACGUAGAGGAAGUAGUCGUACGUCUUCACGAUCCAACCGAUCAAGUACCGAAACUACGACACCUCCGAGUUCGAGCACACGUUCAGCUCGAUGACGAUCCCCGGACUUCGAUCCAGCAAAGUGUCGGGGAAGAGUUCCGUCAGCACGACGGCGUGGUGACGAUCUUGAUGAACUACAGCAGCAGGGCUUCGCCUAAACUCCACUACAGUAUUAUCGAGGAAUAUGGUGGCAGGGGGCACCGCACACGGCUAAGGAAUUGAUCACGUGGAUCAACUUGUGUCAACUUGUGUGUUUAGAGGUGCCCCUGCCUCCGUAUAUAAAGGAGUAGAGGGGAGGGUGCGCCGGCCAAGAGGGAGAGGCGCAGGAGGAGUCCUACUCCUACCGGGAGUAGGACUCCCCCCCCAAUCCUAUUCCAACUAGGAUUCCCAAGGGGGAAAGAGGGAGAGGGGUGGCCGGCCACCUCUCCUAGUCCUAAUAGGACUAGGGGAAGGGGGGAGGCGCACAGCCCCCUUGGGCUGCCCCUUUCUCCUUUCCACUAAGGCCCAUGAUGGCCCAUAUGGCUCCCGGGGGGUUCCGGUAACCUCCCGGUAACCCGGUAAAAUCCUGAUUUCACCCGGAACACCUCCGAUGUCCAAACAUAGACUUCCAAUAUAUCAAUCUUUAUGUCUCGACCAUUUCGAGACUCCUCGUCAUGUCCGUGAUCACAUCCGGGACUCCGAACAACCUUCGGUACAUCAAAAUGCAUAAACUCAUAAUGUAACUGUCAUCGUAACCUUAAGCGUGCGGACCCUACGGGUUCGAGAACAAUGUAGACAUGACCGAGACACGUCUCUGGUCAAUAACCAAUAGCGGGACCUGGAUGCCCAUAUUGGCUCCUACAUAUUCUACGAAGAUCUUUAUCGGUCAGACCGCAUAACAACAUACGUUGUUCCCUUUGUCAUCGGUAUGUUACUUGCCCGAGAUUCGAUCGUCGGUAUCCAAUACCUAGUUCAAUCUCGUUACCGGCAAGUCUCUUUACUCGUUCCGUAAUACAUCAUCUCACAACUAACAUAUUAGUUGUAAUGCUUGCAAGGCUUAUGUGAUGUGUAUUACCGAGAGGGCCCAGAGAUACCUCUCCGACAAUCGGAGUGACAAAUCCUAAUCUCGAAAUACGCCAACCCAACAUCGACCAUUGGAGACUCCCGUAGUACUCCUUUAUAAUCACCCAGUUACGUUGUGACGUUUGGUAGUACCCAAAGUGUUCCUCCGGUAAACGGGAGUUGCAUAAUCUCAUAGUCAUAGGAACAUGUAUAAGUCAUGAAGAAAGCAAUAGCAACAUACUAAACGAUCGGGUGCUAAGCUAAUGGAAUGGGUCAUGUCAAUCAGAUCAUUCUACUAAUGAUGUGACCUCGUUAAUCAAAUAACAACUCAUUGUUCAUGGUUAGGAAACAUAACCAUCUUUGAUUAACGAGCUAGUCAAGUAGAGGCAUACUAGUGACACUCUGUUUGUCUAUGUAUUCACACAUGUAUUAUGUUUCCGGUAAAUACAAUUCUAGCAUGAAUAAUAAACAUUUAUCAUGAUUAUAAGGAAAUAAAUAAUAACUUUAUUAUUGCCUCUAGGGCAUAUUUCCUUCAGUCUCCCACUUGCACUAGAGUCAAUAAUCUAGUUCACAUCGUCAUGUGAUUUAACACCAAUAUUCAUAUCUGUAUAUGAUUAACACCAUAGUUCACAUCAUCAUGUGACCAACACCCAAAGGGUUUACUGGAGUCAAUAAUCUAGUUCACAUCGCUAUGUGAUUAACAUCCAAAGAGUACUAAGGUGUGAUCAUGUUUUGCUCGUGAGAGAAUCUUAGUCAACGGGUCUGCCACAUUCAGAUCCUCAUGUAUUUUGCAAAUUUCUAUGUCAACAAUGCUCUGCAUGGAGCUACUCUAGCUAAUUGCUCCCACUUUCAAUAUGUAUCCAGGUUGAGACUUAGUGUCAUCUGGAUCAGUGUAAAAGUUUGCACUGAUGUAACUUUUACAACAAACUCUUUUAUCACCUCCAUAAUCGAGAAACAUCUCCUUAGUCCUUACUAAGGAUAUUCUUGACCAAUGUCCAGUGAUCUACUCCUAGAUCACUAUUGUACUCUCUUGCCAAAUUCAGAGCAAGGUAUACAAUAGGUCUGGUACAUAGCAUAGCAUACUUUAUAGAACCUAUGACUGAGGCACAGGGAAUGACUUUUCAUUCUCUUUCUUUUUUAUGCUGUGGUCGGGAUUUGAGUCUUACUCAAUUUCAUACUUUUGCAACACAGGCAAGAACUCUUUCUUUGACUGUUCCAUUUUGAACUAUUUCAAAAUCUUGCCAAGGUAUGUUCUCAUUGAAAAUCUUAUCAAGCGUCUUGAUCUAUCUCAAUAGAUCUUGAUGCUCAAUAUGUAAGCAGCUUCACCAAGGUCUUUCUUUGAAAAACUUUUAUUCAAGUAUCCUUUCAUGCUUUGCAGAAUAAUUCUACAUUAUUUCUGAUCAACAAUAUGUCAUUCACAUAUACUUAUCAGAAAUGUUGUAGUGCUCCCACUCACUUUCUUGUAAAUACAGGCUUCUCAAAAAGUCUGUAUAAAACCAUAUGCUUUGAUCAACUCAUCAAAGCGUAUAUUCCAACUCCGAGAGGCUUGCACCAGUCCAUAGAUGGAUCGCUGGAGCUUGCACAUUUUGUUAGUACCUUUAGGACUGACAAAACCUUCUGGUUGCAUCUUAUACAACUCUUCUUUAAUAAAUCCAUUAAGGAAUGCAGUUUUGUUUAUCCAUUUGCCAGAUUUCAUAAAAUGCGGCAAUUGCUAACAUGAUUCGGACAGACUAAAGCAUAGAUACGAGUGAGAAAAACUCAUCGUAGUCAACACCUUGAACUUUGUCGAAAACCUUUCUUGCGACAAUUCUAGCUUUGUAGAUAGUAACACUACUAUCAGCGUCCGUCUUCCUCUUGAAGAUCCAUUUAUUCUCAAUUGCUUGCUGAUCAUCGGGCAAGUCAACCAAAGUCCAAACUUUGUUCUCAUACAUGGAUCAUAUCUCAGAUUUCAUGGCCUCAAGCCAUUUCGUGGAAUCUGGGCUCAUCAUUGCUUCCUCAUAGUUCGUAGGUUCAUCAUGGUCUAGUAACAUGACUUCCUGAACAUGAUUACCGUACCACUCUGGUGCGGAUCUUACUCUGGAAGACCUACGAGGUUUGGUAGUAACUUGGUCUGAAGUUUGAUGAUCAUCAUCAUUAACUUCCUCACUUAUUGGUGUAGGAAUCACUGGAACUGAUUUCUGUGAUGAACUACUUUCCAAUAAGGGAGAAGGUAUAAUUACCUCAUCAAGUUCUACUCUCCUCCCACUCACUUCUUUCGAGAGAAACUCCUUCUCUGGAAAGAAUCCAUUUUAGCAACGAAUGUCUUGCCUUUGGAUCUGUGAUAGAAGGUGUACCCAACAAUUUCCUUUGGGUAUUCUAUGAAGAUGCACUUCUCCGAUUUGGGUUCGAGCUUAUCAGGAUGAAACUUUUUCACAUAAGCAUCGCAGCCCCAAACUUUAAGAAACAACAGCUUAGGUUUACUGCUAAACCAUAGUUCAUACAGUGUCGUCUCAACGGAUUUAGAUGGUGCCCUAUUUUAAAACGUGAAUGCAGCUGUCUCGAAUGCAUAACCAAAACGAUAGUGGUAAAGAGAUAUCAUAGAUCGCACCAUAUCAAAUAAAGUGCGGUUUACGACGUUCGGACACACCAUAACGAUGUGGUGUUCCAGGUGGCGUGAGCUGUGAAACUAUUCCACAUUGUUUUAAUUGAAGACCAAACUCGUAACUCAAAUAUUUGUCUCCGCGAUCAGAUCAUAGAAACUUUAUUUUCUUGUUACGAUGAUUUUUCCACUUCACUCUGAAAUUCUUUGAACCUUUCAACUAUUUCAGACUUAUGUUUCAUCAAGUAGAUAUACCCAUAUCUGCUUAAAUCAUCUGUGAAGGUGAGAAAAUAACGAUAUCUGCCACGAGCCUCAAUAUUCAUCGGGCCACAUACAUCGGUAUGUAUGAUUUCCAACAAAUCUGUUGCUCUCUCCAUAGUACCGGAGAACGGUGUUUUAGUCAUCUUACCCAUAAGGCACGGUUCGCAAGUCCCAAGUGAUUCAUAAUCAAGUGGUUCCAAAAGUCCAUCAGUAUGGAGUUUCUUCAUGCGCUUUACACCAAUAUGACCUAAACGGCAGUGCUACAAACAAGUUGCACUUAUCAUUAUUAACUUUGCAUCUUUUGGUUUCAAUAUUAUGAUUAUGUGUAUCACUACGAUCGAGAUCCAACAAACUAUUUUCAUUGUGUGUGUAACCAUUUAAGGUUUUAUUCAUGUAAACAGAACAACAAUUUAUUCUCUUACUUAAAUGAAUAAUCGUAUUACAAUAAACAUGAUCAAAUCAUAUUCAUGCUCAACGCAAACACCAAAUAACACUUAUUUAGGUUCAACACUAAUCCCGAAAGUAUAGGGAGUGUGUGACGAUGAUCAUAUCAAUCUUGGAACCACUUCCAACACACAUCGUCACUUCAUCCUUAACUAGUCUCUGUUUAUUCUGCAACUCCCGUUUCGAGUUACUAAUCUUAGCAACUGAACUAGUAUCAAAUACUGAGGGUUUGCGAUAAACACUAGUAAAGUAUACAUCAAUAACAUGUAUAUCAAAUAUACUUAUGUUCACUUUGCCAUCCUUCUUAUCCGCCAAUCACUUGGGGUAGAUCCGCUUCCAGUGACCAGUCCCUUUGCAGUAGAAACACUUAGUCUCAGGCUUAGGAUCAGACUUGGGUUUCUUCACUUGAGCAGCAACUUGCUUGCUGUUCUUCUUGAAGUUCCCCUUCUUCCUUCUGCCCCUUUUCUUGAAACUAGUGGUCUUGUCUACCAUCAACACUUUGAUGUUUUUCUCGAUUUCUACCUUCGUUAAUUUCCGCAUUACGAAGAGCUUGGGAAUCGUUUCCGUUAUCCCUUGCAUGUCAUAGUUCAUCACGAAGUUCUACUAACUUGGUGAUGGUGACUAGAGAACUCUGUCAAUCACUAUCUUAUCUGGAAGAUUAACUCCCACUUGAUUCAAGCGAUUGAAGUACUCAGACAAUCUGAGCACAUGCUCACUAGUUGAGCGAUUCUCCUCCAUCUUUUAGCUAUAGAACUUGUUGGAGACUUCAUAUCUCUCAACUCGGGUAUUUGUUUGAAAUAUUAGCUUCAACUCCUGGAACAUCUCAUAUGAUCCAUGACAUUCAAAACGUCUUUGAAGUCCCGAUUCUAAGCCGUUAAGCAUGGUGCACUUAAACUAUCAAGUAGUCAUCAUAUUGAGCUAGCCAAACGUUCAUAACGUCUGCAUUUGCUCCUGCAAUAGGUCCGUCACCUAGCGGUGCAUUAAGGACAUAAUUCUUCUGUGCAGCAAUGAGGAUUUAACCUCAGAUCACGGAUCAAAUCCGCAACAUUGCUACUAACAAUUUUCAACACAAUUUUCUCUAGGAACAUAUCAAAAUAAACACAGGGAAGCAACAACGCGAGCUAUUGAUCUACAACAUGAUUUGCAAAAUACUACCAGGACUAAGUUCAUGAUAAAUUUAAGUUCAAUUUAAUCAUAUUACUAAAGAACUCCCACUUAGAUAGACAUCCCUCUAAUCCUCUAAGUGAUCACGUGAUCCAAAUCAACUAAACCAUGUCCGAUCAUCACGUGAGAUGGAGUAGUUUCAUCGGUCAACAUCAUUAUGUUGAUCAUAUCUACUAUAUGAUUCACGCUCGACCUUUCGGUCUCCGUGUUCCGAGGCCAUAUCUGCAUAUGCUAGGCUCGUCAAGUUUAACCUGAGUAUUCUGCAUGCGCAACUGUUUUGCACCCGUUGUAUUUGAACGUAGAGCCUAUCACACCCGAUCAUCACGUGGUGUCUCAGCACGAAGAACUUUCGCAACGGUGCAUACUCAGGGAGAACACUUCUUGAUAAUUUAGUGAGAGAUCAUCUUAUAAUGCUACCGUCAAUCAAAGCAAGAUAAGAUGCAUAAAAAGUUAAACAUCACAUGCAAUCAAUAUAAGUGAUAUGAUAUGGUCAUCAUCAUCUUGUGCUUGUGAUCUCCAUCUCCGAAGCACCGUCAUGAUCACCAUCGUCACCGGCGCGACACCUUGAUCUCCAUCGUAGCAUCGUUGUCGUCUCGCCAAUCUUAUGCUUCCACGACUAUUACUACCGUUUAGUAAUAAAGUAAAGCAUUACAUCGCGAUUGCAUUGCAUACAAUAAAGCGACAACCAUAUGGCUCCUGCCAGUUGCCGAUAACUCGGUUACAAAACAUGAUCAUCUCAUACAAUAAAAUUCAGCAUCAUGCUUUGACCAUAUCACAUCACAACAUGCCCUGCAAAAACAAGUUAGACGUCCUCUUCUUUGUUGUUGCUUGUUUUACGUGGCUGCUACGGGCUUAAGUAAGAACCAAUCUCACCUACGCAUCAAAACCACAACGAUAGUUUGUCAAAUAGACUCCGUUUUAACCUUCGCAAGGACCGGGCGUAGCCAUACUUGGUUCAACUAAAGUUGGAGAGGCAGUCGCCCGCAAGCCAUCUCUGUGCAAAGCACGUCGAGGGAACCGGUCUCGCGUAAGCGUACGCGUAAGGUUGGUCCGGGUCGUCUCGUCCAACAAUACCGCCGAACCAAAGUAUGACAUGCUGGUAGGCAGUAUGACUUGUAUCGUCCACAACUUACUUGUGUUCUACUCGUGCAUAUAACAUCAACAUCAAUAACCUAGGCUCUGAUACCACUGUUGGGUUUCGUAGUAAUUUCAAAAAAAUUUCCUACGCGCACACAGGAUCAUGUGAUGCAUAGCAACGAGAGGAGAGUGUUGUCUACGUACCCAACGCAGACCGACUGCGGAAGCGGUGACACGACGUAGAGGAAGUAGUCGUACGUCUUCACGAUCCAACCGAUCAAGUACCGAAACUACGGCACCUCCGAGUUCGAGCACACGUUCAGCUCGAUGACGAUCCCCGGACUUCGAUCCAGCAAAGUGUCGGGGAAGAGUUCCGUCAGCACGACGGCGUGGUGACGAUCUUGAUGAACUACAGCAGCAGGGCUUCGCCUAAACUCCGCUACAGUAUUAUCGAGGAAUAUGGUGGCAGGGGGCACCGCACACGGCUAAGGAAUUGAUCACGUGGAUCAACUUGUGUCAACUUGUGUGUUUAGAGGUGCCCCUGCCUCCGUAUAUAAAGGAGUAGAGGGGAGGGUGCGCCGGCCAAGAGGGAGAGGCGCAGGAGGAGUCCUACUCCUACCGGGAGUAGGACUCCCCCCCAAUCCUAUUCCAACUAGGAUUCCCAAGGGGGAAAGAGGGAGAGGGGUGGCCGGCCACCUCUCCUAGUCCUAAUAGGACUAGGGGAAGGGGGGAGGCGCACAGCCCCCUUGGGCUGCCCCUUUCUCCUUUCCACUAAGGCCCAUGAUGGCCCAUAUGGCUCCCGGGGGGUUCCGGUAACCUCCCGGUAACCCGGUAAAAUCCUGAUUUCACCCGGAACACUUCCGAUGUCCAAACAUAGACUUCCAAUAUAUCAAUCUUUAUGUCUCGACCAUUUCGAGACUCCUCGUCAUGUCCGUGAUCACAUCCGGGACUCCGAACAACCUUCGGUACAUCAAAAUGCAUAAACUCAUAAUGUAACUGUCAUCGUAACCUUAAGCGUGCGGACCCUACGGGUUCGAGAACAAUGUAGACAUGACCGAGACACGUCUCUGGUCAAUAACCAAUAGCGGGACCUGGAUGCCCAUAUUGGCUCCUACAUAUUCUACGAAGAUCUUUAUCGGUCAGACCGCAUAACAACAUACGUUGUUCCCUUUGUCAUCGGUAUGUUACUUGCCCGAGAUUCGAUCGUCGGUAUCCAAUACCUAGUUCAAUCUCGUUACCGGCAAGUCUCUUUACUCGUUCCGUAAUACAUCAUCUCACAACUAACAUAUUAGUUGUAAUGCUUGCAAGGCUUAUGUGAUGUGUAUUACCGAGAGGGCCCAGAGAUACCUCUCCGACAAUCGGAGUGACAAAUCCUAAUCUCGAAAACGCCAACCCAACAUCGACCAUUGGAGACACCUGUAGUACUCCUUUAUAAUCACCCAGUUACGUUGUGACGUUUGGUAGUACCCAAAGUGUUCCUCCGGUAAACGGGAGUUGCAUAAUCUCAUAGUCAUAGGAACAUGUAUAAGUCAUGAAGAAAGCAAUAGCAACAUACUAAACGAUCGGGUGCUAAGCUAAUGGAAUGGGUCAUGUCAAUCAGAUCAUUCUACUAAUGAUGUGACCUCGUUAAUCAAAUAACAACUCAUUGUUCAUGGUUAGGAAACAUAACCAUCUUUGAUUAACGAGCUAGUCAAGUAGAGGCAUACUAGUGACACUCUGUUUGUCUAUGUAUUCACACAUGUAUUAUGUUUCCGGUAAAUACAAUUCUAGCAUGAAUAAUAAACAUUUAUCAUGAUUAUAAGGAAAUAAAUAAUAACUUUAUUAUUGCCUCUAGGGCAUAUUUCCUUCAGUUACUACAUCUAAUAGUUAGGAAAAUUAAAAAAAUUAAAUUUGGACAUGUUUUGCAAAAAAAAUGUUAUGAAAAUGUAAAACGGCCGUAUCUUUUGCAUACGAUGUCGAAAAAAUGCAUAAUAUAUCAAAAAAAAUCAGCAGGAAAAUCCGCAUCCAAUUUGAACCCUUGGGGAAUUUUUAACCUUCACAGUCUUCUUCAUAUUGGAUUUUCAUCACUUUGAGACGACCUUGACGUGUUAUUUUUGUAGUGUUCCUCUAGUCGUGAGUGUGAAGCCAGUAAGUGCUAUGCUAAUCUAACCGAAUACAAGCCAUGUCUUUGGGGGCUCCAAGCCCAAGUAAUCCUCUUGCAAUGUUCCUAAAGGAAUUUUCAUAAUAGCUCUCAUGUCUGCUGAUCAGAAAUUGAGCUCUAAUGCUUGCUCGUCUCAAGACAAUCCAUCCAGAGCUAAAAAGUCCUGAACCAUAACUGCAGUGGCCUCUGGCUUCCUAAAUAUUGUUUAAAUCCCAGAAUUUCUGAAAUUCAAUUUUCGUUCCAGAUUUUAUUUUUUGAACAAUCGCCGCGCGGGGGUGGGGUGGAGGUGGGGGGGAGCUUCUUCUUAAUUAGGUUUUCUUGUACUGCCAUCCCCAAUCCUUUUAAUUAGUCCUUUUUUCUAGAACUUCUUUCCUGUUCAAAAUACCUUUCCAUCUGUGAGAGUUAUUGUGUUUCUUCUUAGCACCCAUGAAACCUCUACAAAGAGUGCGGGCACACAAGGAAUCAUGUUUUGUCAUUAAUAUCCGACCUUAUUUCUCAACCAUUGCAAUGUUGAAAAAGUGCAAGUCCCUGAAGUCCAUACAUCCUCCUGUCUUCGUAUGAGCUAUAUCUGACCAUUUCUUCCAAUGUAAUUUGCUUGUAUCUCCAUCUCCUCCCCACCAAUAUCGAGCUAGGCUUGAGGUAAUCCUUUUUAUACGUUGUCUUUGAUAGCGGAAAAUAACUCAUUCAGAAUGUGGGCACUGAUUGUGUCACUUCUUUGAUGAGGAUUUCUUUGCCAGCUGCACAUAACUUCUUUUCACACCAGCAUUAACAAGGUUCUGGAUUCUUGAACUUAUUUUUCCAAAGGCUCCUGCGAUAUAGAUCUGCCAAUAGCAGUUGGCAGUCCUAAAUAUUUUUCCUCCAGGGCUUCUCUCUCAAUACUGAGACAUUGGGUAACUUUGGUUUCAGCUUCUGCCAAAUAGUUUCUGUUGAAGAAGAUAUCAGAUUUUGCUCGAUUCACCAACUGACCUGAUCCUAUUUUGUAGGCUUCCAGAAUUUUAUUUAGUCUUGUUGCUUCCUGAUGCCUGAGUAAAAACAAUGUAAUCAUCAACGAAUAAAAAGUGAGAUAUAAAUGGUGCAUGGAUCCCCACUCUAAUUCCUUUAGCAAGAAAUUGCGGGCCAGAAAAUAUUAAUAAACUAGAUAAGCCUUCAGCACAUAGAAGACAAAGAUAAGGAUAUAUUGGACCUCCUUGCCUGAUACCAAGAGAGAAUCAUUUUCUCAUCGUAUGCAUCAGCCGUAACAACCUAUAGAUUAUGACUACAUCCGGAGAAACACUUUACCACAAGAGACAGAAGGAGUUACUGGUUUGGUUGACCUUGCCAACCGCCGGAGUGCAUAAUAAUGAUUAUGAACGGGACUAGUAACCUUACUGCAUGUUCAACUUAUUUUACGAUUAGAUUAGAGGACUGAGGAGUGGUGCGCAACAUCUAGUAAUGAUUUUAUUUUCAUUACCAUACAUGCCAGUGCUUUUUACCAUGGUUAGUAGUAGGAGUCGUGGGAACUUGGGCGUAGCACAACGCGUGGAAUCUGGUAAAGCAAUUUAAUUUCGUUACCAUACAUAUGGCUAGCAUUUUUACCGUGACUAGAGAAAAGUGAUGCGGGGCAAAGGUUGGGUGCGCUGCAGCGGUAAUAGAAAUUAAACCUAUCACUAUAUAUAUAUAUAUAUAUAUAUAUAUAUAUAUAUAUAUAUAGGGUGCCGUGCUGGUUGUUGCACUUCUCCUUCAUUUUUGUUUUCCUAUGCACUCAAUAUUAUUGUGAGAAACAUAGACCUAGGUCACUUGAAUAAAUGGUUGUUGUAUCAGGCACCACGUGUUGAUGUUGAAAUGAAGGAUGGUGCAUUGGAACGCCAAAUCAUGGAAGCGCCUAAGUCAGGUUGCGAUAGCAAGACAGCUUGUUUUCCCUAUUAUUGGUUAUUGGUCCUCCAACUUUUUAACCUAUGUUUUCUUAAUUUCAUUGAAGGUGGCGUCGCUGAGAAUAGCAAUGAUCAGAUUCGUGAUUCCGUGCUAGAGAUUAAGAAAAUACGGGAUUCUAUUGUAUGUUAUAUGUCUUCUCUUUUGUUUCAGGAAAAAAUGAUGCUUGUUUUUCUUAUAUUUUAUUCUAGUUGAGAAUCUUAUGUGAAUUCAUCCCCUCUUUGUUUCAGCUUCGUAAGGAAUUCAUACUUCAAGACGGAAGUGCUCAAUGUGAUAUGGACAUUCAUAAAAUUAAGACUGGUAUUCUACCAUUUUACACAUCUAAACAUCGUUAGAUUGAUAAUCACUUGUAGAAAUGUCACUGUUUUCUGGCAAACAUUUUGGGCAUGUUUUGCUGGGAGCUAUACAUUUCCCAAAGUUCUAUGUUAAACUGUCGUGUACCUCAUCUUAAACUGUGGACAAAUUGUCCAUUAGAAGUGUGGAAUAUUUUGACAAGAAGUUAUUUCUAUAUGUGUUCCACAUUCCCAUUACUCGUCAUGUUUAAACCUUAUGCAAAAGAGAAGAUGACAGUAGAAGUGUUGUCAAUAAUGGAGAAAUAUAAGGAACCUAGAUCAAAUAUAAUGAAAGUUGUCAAUCUAACUUUCUCUGGCGAUGAUGGCAAAACCAAGAGCACUAAGAGGAUGGGAUUGAACUUGAAGGAGGCACUCUCCCAACGCGAUAAAUGCAUGGUAAGAAACCUCGCACUGAAGGGAUGCAUUAAAUUUUUAAAUGCCAUCUGUACCUUUGACACUUGUCAAUGCAGGAACUUGUUGAGAUCUGUUGUGAUUGCGAUUGAAUGGCCCCUACAGAUGGUAUGUGUAAACACAUUUACUCUUAUCUCUUUAAUUUUCCAAAUCGACAAGCAUGGGGUUCUUGGACCUUAUAGGCACAAUAAUAAAGAAUUUCAUACAAAUGGGUCUUGUGCCACAUACUUUCUGAUUAGCGUUUAUUGAAUCCAAUCCCUAUAGUGCCCCAUUAGUAUCAUGCAUUCAAAUGUUAGCAUACAUGGUGUACUACGCUUAGUAUGCUUGGGAAAAAGAGUUUUCAAGUGGUCAAAUCUAUAAACCACUUGUCUGUUCUCUAUUCAGGUGUUAGAUUUAUUCAACAUCAUGGUUCGGUCCAUGGUUAACAAAGACAUGUAUCACGCCGUUGUAGGAUCUAUCAGAGAUCACCUCUACUCACCUCAUUGCAUUCCACUUGUCAAGAACUGAAUAGGUCUCCACGUAGCAAUAACCAAGAACUGAUAUUUGGUUUAGUACCAUCUUCUCUCAUUCAUAGCUCUCACACAUUGUUUUUCGGGCACUUAUUCACCGACCACUCCUAUCUUUUUAGGAAUGCACGUUGGCGAAGUACGUUUGAAAUGCCCUGAUUUUGAGAUGAGCAUCACCGGCGAUCCUCGUCCGCCCCCAGAUGAUGCAAGGUGCUCCGCAACUGCCAAUAUGAUACUGGAGCUUGGCAAGAAGGCGGGGGAAAAGAACAACAUGAUAACUGAUGCAAAGUUGCUAGCUGGGACUAGUAAGGCGUUGGGGCCAAUAUUAGUAAAGAGUGAAAUAAAGCAACUUAGGUAUUUGUUGUUCUGAUGUCCGAAAGUUAUAAUGAUUUGUGUUGUAUGAGUUUGUAUUGUACAUGCGUGCUAACCAUGUGCUCAAACGGAUUAUUUUUACCAUUAUUUUAUUGAGUUUUCUUUGUUUUGGGAACUUUUUCAAACUUGCUUUUGGGUGGAAUUUCACUUAUGUGCAUAUGAGUGGGUUACAUUUUCCCAAAAUUAUAGCACCUUUUUGGAAGGUUGCUUAUUAUUGCUAAUUUAGCAAUUGC